GGAUGUAAGGGAGAUCUGGCCACAACAUCUGUCACCCCACUGAUUGCCACGGUCGAUUUGGCUGAUCUGGCUGACUUGGUAGAGUCCUCUUCCUCCUUCAGUGCUCCAGGUGCGUCCUUGCUGAAGCAGCACGCUUGGUCAAAGAGGACCUCCCCCCCAAUAGAGGAGGACCGUUCCUCGGUCAAGGGUAUAUAUGUAGCUGCGUUCCCCUGUUAGAAUCUCCAAACAAGCUCUCAAAAACACAGCUGUGAUUUGGAUACGGAGUGUGUACAGCCACCAGAUACAACAAAGUAAGAAGGGAAGUUUUCAUUGUCCUUGCAU
Molecule: small nuclear RNA, 321 nt
Filed under: Octodon degus (degu)
Lineage: Eukaryota; Metazoa; Chordata; Mammalia; Rodentia; Octodontidae
Description: 7SK RNA (ENSODEG00000023961.1)
Rfam family: 7SK RNA
About the family: 7SK was discovered as an abundant small nuclear RNA in the mid-70s but a possible function has only recently been suggested. Two independent studies have found that 7SK RNA binds the CDK9/cyclin T complex (known as elongation factor P-TEFb).
Source: RNAcentral